GGAAAUCAUAUCAAAAAAUCAGAAGGCAUGGAAAUAGUACAAUACAAGUGAAAAUGACCAGACUCCAAUCACUUUUGUUCACUACAAACAAUCCAGAAUAAGAAUCCGCCAGCCAUUUGGCUUCUCAAUUUUGGUAAGAUGUGAAAAAAAAGGAGGAAAAGAAAAUCCAAAGACAUAGGCACACAAGUUCUAUAUUCCAGCCCCUCUUUUGCAAUUAGAUCAACCCUAAAUGAUUUCUUUUCUAAACCUGCAUUCUUCUUUCCACCUCAAAAAUAAACCCUAAAAUAGAUCAUUUAAGCACUAGAAAGAAGACUUCACUACCUGUCCUGUGUCACCCAAACAAUUAUCAAACCAUUCUGUCACCCUCAUACAUAUCAUUGAACACAUUUCAUACUAUGAGCACUUGUUUAGGUGUUCAAGCCCCCAAGGCUAUUUUGAGUUCUCUAACAAACAAAACUACAAAAAUUGCCAAUUGAAUUUGG
RNAcentral lists this unclassified non-coding RNA (482 nucleotides) under Hevea brasiliensis (rubber tree). The record is from RNAcentral. Lineage: Eukaryota; Viridiplantae; Streptophyta; Magnoliopsida; Malpighiales; Euphorbiaceae.